Molecule: ribosomal RNA, 253 nt
Filed under: uncultured bacterium
Lineage: Bacteria
Description: partial 16S ribosomal RNA
Rfam family: Bacterial small subunit ribosomal RNA
Source: RNAcentral
AAGCGAAGCGGUGACGUGGAGCAAACUUAGAAAAGCAGUCUCAGUUCGGAUUGAAGGCUGAAAUUCGCCUUUAUGAAGCCGGAAUUGCUAGUAAUGGCAGGUCAGCAUACUGCCGUGAAUACGUUCCCGGGCCUUGUACACACCGCCCGUCACACCAUGAGAGUUGGGGAUACCCGAAGCCUGUGAGCCAACAGUAAUGAGGCAGCAGUCGAAGGUAGAAUCAAUGAUUGGGGUGAAGUCGUAACAAGGUACC